AUUCUUUCUUCAUAAAUGCUACGCACUGCUCAUUUAUAUGACCCUACAUGAAUGAAAUCAUAUACAACUACUUUACCUUUCUAAAAAUCAUGCCACCGCAUGAUAGUGCCUUAUAAAUAAUUCAAAUUUAUGUAACCUUCACCUCCUUCAAGACAAGGUUCCCCUAGCUAAAGCUAGUUAACUAGCAUCAAGAAUUAUAACAGUUCAAAAAAUGGCCAAGGCUAGUGAUCUUCUUCUGAUACUAGUGCUUCUUUUGUCUCUUAUGUUUCAAUAUAAAGUGGCUACCAGGAUUGGCACAGAUUGUGCUCUUUCUUGCCUUAAUGAAAGAAAAGGAGCAGAAAAGCAUGUAGACAUGGAAGAUGAUUCAGGAGAUGAAGCUGCCCAAGGAGAUUAUGACUAUUAUAGAAGGUAUGGUGAUGUUCCAAGCCCUGGUAUUGGCCACUGAAGGCACAGUCGAGUUCUUGUCUCCUUGCAGCUGCUAUUUUUUUUCCCCUUCUUUGCUAUACAUAUGUUUUUAUGUUAUUGUGUUAGUUCUCAUCUUCAUUAUGUUAUGCAUACAACUAUUUCUUUUGCUUUAUUUUUCCUGUGUUCAUAAAUUAGCAUUUCAGUAAGGAUUUUGGCUAGUCCAUGGUUUUAUAGUGG
RNAcentral lists this unclassified non-coding RNA (642 nucleotides) under Hevea brasiliensis (rubber tree). Lineage: Eukaryota; Viridiplantae; Streptophyta; Magnoliopsida; Malpighiales; Euphorbiaceae. The record is from RNAcentral.